AUUGAUAUGACGAGCUUGCUCUGAUUUGAUUUUAUCUGACAAAGAGUGGCGAACGGGUGAGUAACACGUGGGUAACCUACCUCUUAGCAGGGGAUAACAUUUGGAAACAAGUGCUAAUACCGUAUAAUACCAACAACCGCAUGGUUGUUGGUUGAAAGAUGGUUCUGCUAUCACUAAGAGAUGGACCCGCGGUGCAUUAGCUAGUUGGUAAGGUAACGGCUUACCAAGGCAAUGAUGCAUAGCCGAGUUGAGAGACUGAUCGGCCACAAUGGGACUGAGACACGGCCCAUACUCCUACGGGAGGCAGCAGUAGGGAAUCUUCCACAAUGGGCGCAAGCCUGAUGGAGCAACGCCGCGUGUGUGAUGAAGGGUUUCGGCUCGUAAAACACUGUUAUAAGAGAAGAACGGCACUGAGAGUAACUGUUCAGUGUGUGACGGUAUCUUACCAGAAAGGAACGGCUAAAUACGUGCCAGCAGCCGCGGUAAUACGUAUGUUCCAAGCGUUAUCCGGAUUUAUUGGGCGUAAAGCGAGCGCAGACGGUUAUUUAAGUCUGAAGUGAAAGCCCUCAGCUCAACUGAGGAAUGGCUUUGGAAACUGGAUGACUUGAGUGCAGUAGAGGAAAGUGG
RNAcentral lists this ribosomal RNA (627 nucleotides) under Weissella paramesenteroides. RNAcentral's name for it is "bacterial SSU rRNA". It matches the Rfam family "Bacterial small subunit ribosomal RNA", at positions 49 to 664 of the family's 1533-position model. The record is from RNAcentral. Lineage: Bacteria; Bacillati; Bacillota; Bacilli; Lactobacillales; Lactobacillaceae.